Long non-coding RNA from Diceros bicornis minor, 524 nucleotides. RefSeq lists it as uncharacterized. The record is from RefSeq and is a predicted model, not a curated record. NCBI's taxonomy places the organism in Eukaryota, Metazoa, Chordata, Mammalia, Perissodactyla, Rhinocerotidae. The transcript has 3 exons.
GGGCUUGGAGAAGAGAAGUGACUUGCUGGCUUGCACAGUUGGGGACUGGUGGUUGAGGUGAAAGCCCUGCUGAGUGGAAUUAACUGCUGCCUCCCUGGACCUUCCCUCCCACCCAGGCCCAUGGCCUCUUGCUCCCACGCCUUUCCCUGGAGUCCUGAGAAACAAAGGCACUCAGGUGACCUUUCGUGAUGUUUCCAGAGGACUUCCCACCCUCUGGCCACUGCUUCUACUUGGUGGUUGGAGAUGUAUUUGAUGUUAACAGCAGAUUAGAAACAGGAACGGUCCACCCUCACCCUGCCCAGCCACGCUGCUGCACAUCAGCACUUCCAUGCCUCUCAUGAAGGAUCACCAGACCCUCGAGGUAAGAGCAUCUAACACAAAAGAGAGAUUCUACACCUGCCAGAAUAAAAGAGCCCGGAGGAAACAGAAAGAACAUAGAGAGCAAGAGAUAAUAUAAAAAAGAAAAUACCCUCAGAGAAAUGAGAGAAAAUAUUGCAUCCAUGACCUAAGAACAGGAUGCUAUA